RNAcentral lists this ribosomal RNA (460 nucleotides) under Myroides odoratimimus. RNAcentral describes it as "bacterial SSU rRNA". It matches the Rfam family "Bacterial small subunit ribosomal RNA", at positions 1 to 458 of the family's 1533-position model. The record is from RNAcentral. Lineage: Bacteria; Pseudomonadati; Bacteroidota; Flavobacteriia; Flavobacteriales; Flavobacteriaceae.
UAUACGAUGAAGAGUUUGAUCCUGGCUCAGGAUGAACGCUAGCGGCAGGCCUAACACAUGCAAGUCGAGGGGUAUAAAGAGCUUGCUUUUUAGAGACCGGCGCACGGGUGAGUAACGCGUAUGCAACCUACCUUAUACAGGGGAAUAGCCCGAAGAAAUUCGGAUUAAUGCUCCAUGGUUUAUCGAUAUGGCAUCGUAUUGAUAAUAAAGAUUUAUCGGUAUAAGAUGGGCAUGCGUAUCAUUAGCUAGUUGGUGUGGUAACGGCAUACCAAGGCGACGAUGAUUAGGGGUCCUGAGAGGGAGAUCCCCCACACUGGUACUGAGACACGGACCAGACUCCUACGGGAGGCAGCAGUGAGGAAUAUUGGUCAAUGGAGGCAACUCUGAACCAGCCAUGCCGCGUGCAGGAUGACGGUCCUAUGGAUUGUAAACUGCUUUUGUACAGGAAGAAACCUCCCUA